AAGAACGCACAAGAGUGAUGAGCUGCUCUCUCGCUUUCCUACAAUUUCUCCAUCACAUCUCAGCCCAGGCCUGGACCAUCAUGGUGUGAGAUUCAAAGCCAGAUCACUGGAAACAAGUUUCUUUUGUAUGAUUGUGGGAGCAAGAAAAAAAUCAAAACUGUUGGUCCUCUGGGGAUGAAGCUGAAGAACACAGCAUUUUGGGGGACACAGAGGGAACCUCUGAAAGACCUGGGGGAAGAGCUCAGAAAGAAAGUACUGGACAUCAAAGCAGAGAUUUUGAUGAAGAGUGAUUCUCUCACCAUGCAGGGCAGCCUGAUGUCCCCGGCAGGGCCGAUGGACACACCAGAGGAUCCUGGUGGUUUGCCUUCAAUGGGCAGUUAA
This 381-nucleotide long non-coding RNA is filed under the name Neogale vison (American mink). RNAcentral's name for it is "Neovison vison (American mink) lncRNA (ENSNVIG00000006584.1)". Lineage: Eukaryota; Metazoa; Chordata; Mammalia; Carnivora; Mustelidae. The record is from RNAcentral.